GUAAAAGUUUUUUAAAUUUCCGGCACUCUUUAUUUGUCGCUGAAAGACUACAGUAUGACAAUCCAUGCUAUCCUUUUGCUACUUCGAUUUUUUUGAAAAUCUAUCACUCCCUUCGUUCCAUGUAACUGUUUUCGUGAUCAGUGAACUAUGCUCUUAUGAACUUGGCAUUCGGUGGAGUUGCUGUAGACCUGGUCGUGUUCCUAAGGAGGGUGCUUCAUCAGGAGAACGCCGAGGCUGCCAACAACAUCAGCAAGUGGACUGGUACUGUCUACAUCUUCUCGCUCUUCCGUGCCUGGGGCGCUACAUCACCUGCAUCGUGUUUCAGGUCAUCUAUCUCGUGGUAAGAACUGAAUUCACUGGUUGCUACUAAUUGGCAUAAGAACACUUACAUUUUAAUUACACUUAGAUACCCGGCCCAUUAAUUGGUGAAUACUAACUUCGUUUUGUGCCAUGAAGGGGUUGGUGAUGCUGUCCCUGUCAUCUUUGUUCUUCCUGGUGGUGCCCUCCAAGUGCGGCGAUGGCGUAGGGCUGAGGCCCUGCCGGCCACCGUCGCAGCUCGGCAUCGCGUUAUUCUACGUGUCAACCUACACAACCGCAUUCGGGAUCGGCGGGUACCAGCCGUCGGUGGCGACGUUCGGGGCGGACCAGUUCGACGAGUCGGACGCCACGGAGCGGCGCUCGAAGCUUGCCUUCUUCAGCUACUUCUACGUGGCGCUCAACGUCGGCUCCCUCUUCUCCAACUCC
Molecule: long non-coding RNA, 744 nt
Filed under: Panicum hallii
Lineage: Eukaryota; Viridiplantae; Streptophyta; Magnoliopsida; Poales; Poaceae
Description: long non-coding RNA (PHAL_LNC000443)
Source: RNAcentral